RNAcentral lists this ribosomal RNA (406 nucleotides) under uncultured bacterium. RNAcentral's name for it is "partial 16S ribosomal RNA". It matches the Rfam family "Bacterial small subunit ribosomal RNA", at positions 30 to 526 of the family's 1533-position model. The record is from RNAcentral.
AUUGAACGCUGGCGGCAGGCCUAACACAUGCAAGUCGAACGAGUCGCGGACGGGUGAGCUAUGUCUGGGAAACUGCCUGAUGGAGGGGGAUCACUACUGGAAACUGUAGCUAACUCCGCACACCCUCAGAUGUGCCCAGUUGGGAGUAGCUUGUUGGUGGGGUAACGGCUCACCAAGGCGACGAACCGUAGCUGGUCUGAGAGGAUGAACAGUCACACGGGAACUGAGACACGGUCCAGACUCCUACGGGAGGCAGCAGUGGGGAAUAUUGGACAAUGGGCGAAAGCCUGAUGCAGCCAUGCCGCGUGUAUGAAGAAGGCCUUCGGAUUGUAAAGUACUUUCAGCGGGGAGGCGUUACCCGCAGAAGAAGCACCGGCUAACUCCGUGCCAGCAGCCGCGGUAAUUC